RNAcentral lists this ribosomal RNA (519 nucleotides) under uncultured bacterium. Its description in RNAcentral is "partial 16S ribosomal RNA". It matches the Rfam family "Bacterial small subunit ribosomal RNA", at positions 28 to 507 of the family's 1533-position model. The record is from RNAcentral.
GACGAACGCUGGCGGCGUGCCUAAUACAUGCAAGUCGAGCGAGUCUGCCUUGAAGAUCGGAGUGCUUGCACUCUGUGAAACAAGAUACAGGCUAGCGGCGGACGGGUGAGUAACACGUGGGUAACCUGCCCAAGAGAUCGGGAUAACACCUGGAAACAGAUGCUAAUACCGGAUAACAACAGAUGAUGCCUAUCAACUGUUUAAAAGAUGGUUCUGCUAUCACUCUUGGAUGGACCUGCGGUGCAUUAGCUAGUUGGUAGGGUAACGGCCUACCAAGGCGAUGAUGCAUAGCCGAGUUGAGAGACUGAUCGGCCACAUUGGGACUGAGACACGGCCCAAACUCCUACGGGAGGCAGCAGUAGGGAAUCUUCCACAAUGGACGCAAGUCUGAUGGAGCAACGCCGCGUGAGUGAAGAAGGGUUUCGGCUCGUAAAGCUCUGUUGUUGGUGAAGAAGGACAGGGGUAGUAACUGACCUUUGUUUGACGGCAAUCAAUUAGAAAGUCACGGCUAACUACGUG